RNAcentral lists this ribosomal RNA (416 nucleotides) under uncultured bacterium. RNAcentral describes it as "bacterial SSU rRNA". It matches the Rfam family "Bacterial small subunit ribosomal RNA", at positions 359 to 776 of the family's 1533-position model. The record is from RNAcentral.
GAAUCUUGCGCAAUGGGCGAAAGCCUGACGCAGCGACGCCGCGUGGGGGAUGAAGCCCUUCGGGGUGUAAACCCCUUUCGACCCGGACGAAUGGCUCCGCAAGGAGACGUGACGGUACGGGGACAAGCAGCCCCGGCUAACGACGUCCCAGCAGCCGCGGUAGGACGUAGGGGGCCAGCGUUGCUCGGAAUAACUGGGCGUAAAGGGUCCGUAGGCGGUGCAGCAAGUCGGGAGUGAAAUCUCUGGGCUUAACUCAGAGACUGCUUCCGAAACUGCUGUGCUCGAGUGCGAGAGAGGCGAGUGGAAUUGCAGGUGUAGCGGUGAAAUGCGUAGAUAUCUGCAGGAACACCAGAGGCGAAAGCGGCUCGCUGGAUCGCAACUGACGCUGAGGGACGAAAGCUAGGGGAGCAAACAGG